GAUGAACGCUGGCGGCGUGCCUAAUACAUGCAAGUAGAACGCUGAAGCUUGGUGCUUGCACCGAGCGGAUGAGUUGCGAACGGGUGAGUAACGCGUAGGUAACCUGCCUCUUAGCGGGGGAUAACUAUUGGAAACGAUAGCUAAUACCGCAUAAAGUCGAUAUCGCAUGAUGUUGAUUUGAAAGGUGCAAUUGCAUCACUAAGAGAUGGACCUGCGUUGUAUUAGCUAGUUGGUGAGGUAACGGCUCACCAAGGCGACGAUACAUAGCCGACCUGAGAGGGUGAUCGGCCACACUGGGACUGAGACACGGCCCAGACUCCUACGGGAGGCAGCAGUAGGGAAUCUUCGGCAAUGGGGGCAACCCUGACCGAGCAACGCCGCGUGAGUGAAGAAGGUUUUCGGAUCGUAAAGCUCUGUUGUAAGAGAAGAACGAGUGUGAGAGUGGAAAGUUCACACUGU
RNAcentral lists this ribosomal RNA (459 nucleotides) under Streptococcus parasanguinis. RNAcentral describes it as "bacterial SSU rRNA". It matches the Rfam family "Bacterial small subunit ribosomal RNA", at positions 28 to 472 of the family's 1533-position model. Lineage: Bacteria; Bacillati; Bacillota; Bacilli; Lactobacillales; Streptococcaceae. The record is from RNAcentral.